AGACCAUUAUCUGCAAAGGAGUUUGCAUGUUCUCCCUGUGCCUGUGUGGGUAUCCUCCGCGUACUCCGGUUUUCUCCAACACUCCAAAGACAUACUGGUGGGUUAACUGGCUUCUGUCU
Long non-coding RNA from Nanorana parkeri, 119 nucleotides. RefSeq lists it as uncharacterized. The transcript has 3 exons. The record is from RefSeq and is a predicted model, not a curated record. NCBI's taxonomy places the organism in Eukaryota, Metazoa, Chordata, Amphibia, Anura, Dicroglossidae.